CCGCCCACUUCCUUAUUUUCUCUUUCCUUUGUGCAACAAAAAGAAAGUUUUCAAUGUGGAAAAUCAGAUGAGGAUCUGAUUUACUAUGAAAAACAUCAGGUUGUGGCAUCACAUAAUUUUUUAGGGGUGUGGAAUUAUGAAAAGGUGCGACAAAAAAUAAGUAAGAGUCCAACAUCCAUAGGACUCUUCACCUAACUUCUUACAUGCCAAAAUAAAAGGGAUUAUUCUUUCUUUUGUGUGUGUAAGAGACAAGAGAAGGUAGCCUUCAUGUUGAAGGGGCUUUGGGUAUGGUUCU
This 295-nucleotide long non-coding RNA is filed under the name Elaeis guineensis (African oil palm). RNAcentral describes it as "long non-coding RNA (EGUI_LNC061761)". Lineage: Eukaryota; Viridiplantae; Streptophyta; Magnoliopsida; Arecales; Arecaceae. The record is from RNAcentral.